UCUGUGUUCUUGUUCCCCACAUGAAGCGUGAGAGUCCUUCUCAUCAAAAUGAGGGUUUAUUUGACAACACUGGACUUGGCAACAUAGCCUCAAAGAAGCGGACAGCUCUCCGAUGGCAAAGUCACAGCUGGCAUGGGGAAGAGCAGACGUAACGGACGGGCCCAGGAGCUUCUUGAUGCAGCUGAUGUCUGAUGCCUCCUCACUAAUGCAGAGAAGGCAUUGCUGGAGGAGGUGCUCUUCAACAGCACUAUAGAGCUGGAUCAGCGAGCUCAGUUCUCACCUUGGAAAUCAUCUGUCUGCAUCAGGUAGCAGCAGAGAGCUGAGCCUGGAGAGCAGCUUGCUUGGGCAGCAGCCUAUGCUCUGUCUAGUUAAGUAUUCAAAAUGCAAAUGCAUGAGCUUGGGAGUUAGUGUCAUUUCCCCAUCCUUGGAAGCAUCGGUGGCAGCCAGCAGGAGCAGCAGAGUGGACCAGCGCCAUCCCCACACUGUGUCACCAGGGGCAGGAGCAGCCCAGAUCCAAGGGAGGCAGCAGCUGCGGCUGUGGUGGCUCUUCAGAGGAGACUGGCUAAUGUAA
Molecule: long non-coding RNA, 571 nt
Filed under: Anser brachyrhynchus (Pink-footed goose)
Lineage: Eukaryota; Metazoa; Chordata; Aves; Anseriformes; Anatidae
Description: lncRNA (ENSABRG00000019042.1)
Source: RNAcentral